GUAACUGGUCAUGUUAAAUGGU
This 22-nucleotide non-coding RNA is filed under the name Arabidopsis thaliana (thale cress). The record is from RNAcentral. Lineage: Eukaryota; Viridiplantae; Streptophyta; Magnoliopsida; Brassicales; Brassicaceae.